UACAGAGGGUGCGAGCGUUGUUCGGAAUUACUGGGCGUAAAGCGUGUGUAGGCGGUUUGGUAAGUCGGAUGUGAAAGCCCCGGGCUCAACCCGGGAAGUGCACUCGAUACUGCCAAGCUAGAGUAUCGGAGAGGUUGGCGGAAUUCUCGGUGUAGAGGUGAAAUUCGUAGAUAUCGAGAGGAACACCGGUGGCGAAGGCGGCCAACUGGACGAAUACUGACGCUGAGACUCGAAAGCGUGGGGAGCAAACAGG
This 253-nucleotide ribosomal RNA is filed under the name uncultured bacterium. RNAcentral describes it as "partial 16S ribosomal RNA". It matches the Rfam family "Bacterial small subunit ribosomal RNA", at positions 524 to 776 of the family's 1533-position model. The record is from RNAcentral.